Long non-coding RNA from Arachis stenosperma, 782 nucleotides. RefSeq lists it as uncharacterized. The record is from RefSeq and is a predicted model, not a curated record. The transcript is spliced from 2 exons. NCBI's taxonomy places the organism in Eukaryota, Viridiplantae, Streptophyta, Magnoliopsida, Fabales, Fabaceae.
CGCUAUGGCCUAUGGGGUUUGGAGUAUGGUAUGGCCAUUCUUCAAUUUUAUGCCGAAAAUGAAGGGGACAAAGGAGUAAAGAAGAUACAUUGUUUCUCCAAAGGCAAUCUUAAUAUUAUAACAAUCAUGUAUACAAAAUAAGAAUUGAAGGCUGAAAACAUGUCUGUCUGUCUCUGAGAAGCUGAAGCUGAAGUUGUGAUGCGCUGCCGUUGAGAUAAAAGGGUAUCUUGAACAAGUGGCGCAUAUUAGCUGGCAUGACCCCUAACGCCUAUCACUCACACAAAAAUAUAUUAAUGCAACAAAUCCAAACCCUCUAUAUAUAAACUACUGUGAUGGCAUCUUCCUUCAUCUUCAUAUCCACCAUACACACUUAGCCUUCUUAGAUCAUUGAAAACUAAAACAAUGAACAACAGGGUGAGGGUGGUUCGUGUUGCUCCGGCAUACGGUGGCAACAGGUUGGGAGGGAAAAAGCCACUUCCAAAAAGAGGGCAGAUCAAAUCAAAGAUUGCAGCGAAUGCAUUUCAUUCCAUCAUCUCUGUCAUCUCUAGGGCAGGAGCCUCUUCUUCAUCUGCCAUACAUUCUCCAAGGAAAUGUUGAAAAUUAAAUCCAUUCCAAAUCCAUGCAUAAUUCAAGGAUAUUUCUUCACUUUCUUGCAUGUUCGUAUGUAUAUUGUAGCUAGGCUAGGUACUAGGUAGCUACUUCAUUUUCUUUUUGCUUUCGGUCACUGUAAUGUCUUUUUUUUGGAGUGUUUAUGGACAUGGGCCAUUUCUUUGGUUUUGAGA